AGCGAACGCUGGCGGCAGGCCUAAUACAUGCAAGUCGAGCGGCCCUUCGGGGCAGCGGCGGACGGGUGAGUAACGCGUGGGAACGUGCCCUUUGGUACGGGAUAACUGAGGGAAACUUCAGCUAAUACCGUAUGUGCCCUACGGGGGAAAGAUUUAUCGCCAUUGGAGCGGCCCGCGUUGGAUUAGCUAGUUGGUGGGGUAAAGGCUCACCAAGGCUACGAUCCAUAGCUGGUCUGAGAGGAUGAUCAGCCACACUGGGACUGAGACACGGCCCAGACUCCUACGGGAGGCAGCAGUAGGGAAUCUUGCGCAAUGGGCGAAAGCCUGACGCAGCCAUGCCGCGUGAAUGAUGAAGGUCUUAGGAUUGUAAAAUUCUUUCACCGGGGAAGAUAAUGACGGUACCCGGAGAAGAAGCCCCGGCUAACUUCGUGCCAGCAGCCGCGGUAAUACGAAGGGGGCUAGCGUUGCUCGGAAUUACUGGGCGUAAAGGGCGCGUAGGCGGAUGUUUAAGUCGGGGGUGAAAGCCCGGGGCUCAACCUCGGAAUUGCCUUCGAUACUGGACAUCUUGAGUACGGGAGAGGUGAGUGGAACUCCGAGUGUAGAGGUGAAAUUCGUAGAUAUUCGGAAGAACACCAGUGGCGAAGGCGACUCACUGGCCCGUUACUG
This 666-nucleotide ribosomal RNA is filed under the name uncultured Alphaproteobacteria bacterium. Its description in RNAcentral is "bacterial SSU rRNA". It matches the Rfam family "Bacterial small subunit ribosomal RNA", at positions 28 to 742 of the family's 1533-position model. The record is from RNAcentral. Lineage: Bacteria; Pseudomonadati; Pseudomonadota; Alphaproteobacteria.